AUGGAAAGAAAAAGAAGAAUAGCAUGGAUGGAGAUGCUACUACUGGCACAGAAAAGUAAAAUCUUAUGAGAAACUCUGAAGAUGCAAUCUUGCCUCUGCAAAUGCAAAUGACUGAUAUAUCUCCAUACAGGGAGAACACAUUAUGGCUAGUUCUUGUAGUGGAGACCUAGCAAGUAGUGUCAUCAGAUUGUAUACUACAUAUGACAUCUCAUUCCGGCCUUCACUACUUCUUUGCUUGCUUACAUUUUUACCAACUGAUAAAAGUAUCAAACUUGAGUUUAUG
RNAcentral lists this unclassified non-coding RNA (283 nucleotides) under Hevea brasiliensis (rubber tree). Lineage: Eukaryota; Viridiplantae; Streptophyta; Magnoliopsida; Malpighiales; Euphorbiaceae. The record is from RNAcentral.